Molecule: ribosomal RNA, 500 nt
Filed under: uncultured bacterium
Lineage: Bacteria
Description: partial 16S ribosomal RNA
Rfam family: Bacterial small subunit ribosomal RNA
Source: RNAcentral
AUUGAACGCUGGCGGAAUGCUUUACACAUGCAAGUCGAACGGCAGCACGGACUUCGGUCUGGUGGCGAGUGGCGAACGGGUGAGUAAUGUAUCGGAACGUGCCCAGUCGUGGGGGAUAACGUAGUGAAAAUUACGCUAGUACCGCAUACGAUCUAUGGAUGAAAGCGGGGGAUCGCAAGACCUCGCGCGAUUGGAGCGGCCGAUAUCAGAUUAGGUAGUUGGUGGGGUAAAGGCCCACCAAGCCAACGAUCUGUAGCUGGUCUGAGAGGACGACCAGCCACACUGGAACUGAGACACGGUCCAGACUCCUACGGGAGGCAGCAGUGGGGAAUUUUGGAAAAUGGGCGAAAGCCUGAUCCAGCCAUUCCGCGUGCAGGAUGAAGGCCCUCGGGUUGUAAACUGCUUUUGUACAGAACGAAAAGGUUUCUACUAAUACUAGGAGCUCAUGACGGUACUGUAAGAAUAAGCACCGGCUAACUACGUGCCAGCCGCCGCAGUAA